UACGGAGGGUGCAAGCGUUAUCCGGAUUCACUGGGUUUAAAGGGAGCGUAGGUGGGUUGGUAAGUCAGUGGUGAAAUCUCCGGGCUUAACUCGGAAACUGCCGUUGAUACUAUCAUUCUUGAAUAUUGUGGAGGUAAGCGGAAUAUGUCAUGUAGCGGUGAAAUGCUUAGAUAUGACAUAGAACACCAAUAGCGAAGGCAGCUUGCUACACAAUUAUUGACACUGAGGCUCGAAAGCGUGGGGAUCAAACAGG
Molecule: ribosomal RNA, 253 nt
Filed under: uncultured bacterium
Lineage: Bacteria
Description: partial 16S ribosomal RNA
Rfam family: Bacterial small subunit ribosomal RNA
Source: RNAcentral